AAGAGACAGCAGCCGCCGCGGGAAUACAGAGGGUGCGAGCGUUAAUCGGAUUUACUGGGCGUAAAGCGUGCGUAGGCGGCUUCUUAAGUCGGAUGUGAAAUCCCUGAGCUUAACUUAGGAAUUGCAUUCGAUACUGGGAAGCUAGAGUAUGGGAGAGGAUGGUAGAAUUCCAGGUGUAGCGGUGAAAUGCGUAGAGAUCUGGAGGAAUACCGAUGGCGAAGGCAGCCAUCUGGCCUAAUACUGACGCUGAGGUACGAAAGCAUGGGGAGCAAACAGGAUUAGAUACCCGAGUAGUCCCUGUCUCUUAUAA
Molecule: ribosomal RNA, 310 nt
Filed under: uncultured bacterium
Lineage: Bacteria
Description: partial 16S ribosomal RNA
Rfam family: Bacterial small subunit ribosomal RNA
Source: RNAcentral